GGCGGACGGGUGAGUAAUGCUUGGGAACAUGCCUUGAGGUGGGGGACAACAGUUGGAAACGACUGCUAAUACCGCAUAAUGUCUACGGACCAAAGGGGGCUUCGGCUCUCGCCUUUAGAUUGGCCCAAGUGGGAUUAGCUAGUUGGUGAGGUAAUGGCUCACCAAGGCGACGAUCCCUAGCUGGUUUGAGAGGAUGAUCAGCCACACUGGGACUGAGACACGGCCCAGACUCCUACGGGAGGCAGCAGUGGGGAAUAUUGCACAAUGGGCGCAAGCCUGAUGCAGCCAUGCCGCGUGUGUGAAGAAGGCCUUCGGGUUGUAAAGCACCUUCAGUCAGGAGGAAAGGUUAGUAGUUAAUACCUGCUAGCUGUGACGUUACUGACAGAAGAAGCACCGGCUAACUCCGUGCCAGCAGCCGCGGUAAUACGGAGGGUGCGAGCGUUAAUCGGAAUUACUGGGCGUAAAGCGUAC
RNAcentral lists this ribosomal RNA (471 nucleotides) under uncultured Pseudoalteromonas sp. RNAcentral's name for it is "bacterial SSU rRNA". It matches the Rfam family "Bacterial small subunit ribosomal RNA", at positions 97 to 570 of the family's 1533-position model. The record is from RNAcentral. Lineage: Bacteria; Pseudomonadati; Pseudomonadota; Gammaproteobacteria; Alteromonadales; Pseudoalteromonadaceae.